GCCUACUUAGCUCAGUGGCCAGAGCGUUGGUUUUCGGCGCCAACGGUCGCAGGUUCGACCCCUGUAGUAGGCU
This 73-nucleotide transfer RNA is filed under the name Trichosporon asahii var. asahii CBS 8904. RNAcentral's name for it is "tRNA-Arg (TCG) (tRNA-Arg-TCG-3-1)". It matches the Rfam family "tRNA". Rfam says of the family: Transfer RNA (tRNA) molecules are approximately 80 nucleotides in length. Their secondary structure includes four short double-helical elements and three loops (D, anti-codon, and T loops). Further hydrogen bonds mediate the characteristic L-shaped molecular structure. tRNAs have two regions of fundamental functional importance: the anti-codon, which is responsible for specific mRNA codon recognition, and the 3' end, to which the tRNAs corresponding amino acid is attached (by aminoacyl-tRNA synthetases). tRNAs cope with the degeneracy of the genetic code in two manners: having more than one tRNA (with a specific anti-codon) for a particular amino acid; and 'wobble' base-pairing, i.e. permitting non-standard base-pairing at the 3rd anti-codon position. The record is from RNAcentral. Lineage: Eukaryota; Fungi; Basidiomycota; Tremellomycetes; Trichosporonales; Trichosporonaceae.